AAUUAGAGGGAAAAAAAAAAAAGGAAGAUGUUGGCAAUAAAAAAGUUUGAGAGCUGAAGAAGUAGAAUUGGGAAAAAUUUUAUAUAUAUACUCCUGCGAUUAUUUUUAAAAAUUUUAUUUGGCUUUCACUUCUUCAGCUUUCAUUAGCCCAAAUAAAAAUGCAACCAUCUAAUAAGGAAAAUAAAAAGAAAAAAAGAAAAGAAAAGUGAAACAGAAGAAAUCAUUGAACCAAAGCUAUAGGUGAAGCAAAGCGUAUUAGAAUAAUAGGAGACCACAAGUUGACAAAUUUGAAGUCAUUGUUUCUUUGAGAGGAGACUUUGUGUUUAGAGGAAAGAUCUCUCUCUCUCCCUCUGGGAUUGUGGGGGAUCUCUCUAUCCUCACAUAUCAGAUACUGGCCCAGCAGAUCUGAGUUAUUUUCUCUCUAUAUGUUGUUUUGUCUGGGGAUGAUUCAAAAUUCUUCAAGGGCUUUGCAGAGUCACCCAACCUUUUUUCUGGGUUGUUGGGGUCUUUGUGAAUUUGUUUUUUGUUGGGCUGGCACUAGCAAUUUUCAUGGAGCUAGCCGAGUUUCUUGAGAAUUCAUAGGGGAGGUUUUAUAUAUGGUGGUGGUGGUAGUAGUGGUGGACGAUGCUGUAAGGAAUGGGUACUAAAAUGCAGCCUAAGAUGUAUCUAUCAGGAUAUUAUCCCAUGAGGGAUUUAAACGACGGUACUGGCAAUUUUACCUGGCCUUCUCAUCAUGAAAACAAAGCCUUUGGGCAGUACUAUGACAUAUUCACAGCAAGGCCGGCAAUAGAUGGAUACUUGGGAUAUGAUAAGGAACAGUUGAGGCAAACUAUAUUGAAGCAUGAAACCAUAUUCAGGAAGCAGCUCCAUGAACUGCACCGUCUUUAUAAAAUACAAAUGGAGAUGAUGAAUGAAGUGAGAAGCGAACAACCACAGAAACACCUCAAACCCAUGGGGACAUCGCAAUCGAGUUUUUUUGCCUUUCCAUCUCUAGAUGACAAAAACAGGUGGCAGGAUUCUAGUUUGCCUCUGGUGGAUUUUAGUCAUCAUAUACCAUCUGCAUCAGGUGCUGAUAGUAUCCAGUCACACUUCAGUUCCAUGAAUGUGAACAUCUUGCAAUCUUGUUGUGGUUCUACCCAAAAUGGUUCGAGGUCUAAGGAGUACGAAUCUCUUGAAUUUAAACGCAAGAAUCUCCAGAGAAGAUUGUUUGACCUUGAACUUCCAGCUGAUGAAUACAUGAAUGAUGAAGAGGAAGAACAAGGGGCGUCUGGAGGGUCAGGGGUGGAAAGUUGUCCUGCUAAUAGGAAUUGUGAUAUUGCUUGUGAGAAAAAUGGCAACUUGUCUACUCACAGUGGAGCUUACUCUAUUUGCAAUGGAGAUGCUUCCAGUUCCAAUAUGAAUUUAAAGCGGAACUUGGGUUUCACUGAUCUGAAUGAACCUGUCCAGAUUGCGGAAGCAUCUGGUACAGCUUCUGUUGAUAUUCUAGGCAAUUUUAUCUCCUUUAGAGAAGGGAUACAAAGGAUAGAUCUUUCUGCAAGUUCUUGUUCAGGUUUUUUGGCUAAGGAAACUUCCCAAAGCCCACCUAAAGAAAAGUAUGAGGGAGUUAACGCACGUGAUCAGCAUUUGGAGGAUGAAAAGAGACAAAAGGGAGGGUCACCUUUCACUUUUAACCCUGGCCAAACUACAAGCAAAAAAAGUCCUCAGAAUGAAGGUUUUAAGUGUGAUUAUUUGCCUGCAAUAUGUGAAUCAUCACAAGUUGGAUGCCAGAAAGCCCAAGAGCCGGAUCAGAACAGGAGGGAGAAACCAACAAGGAAGACAAUUUUUGGUGCGGAAAUCUCUGAAACCAAUCAUGAUGCAUCUGUUGUAGCUUCAGAUACUCUACAGCCACUCAUUCCUCAAUCAAGUGUUGCUAAUUCUGAGUCAUCCUCCAUUUCAUCUUGGAAGAAACAUCCAGCUAGCUGGACACAGAAUCUGACAUCUGUUCCAGGAAAUUCUUGCCAUAGUGCUUUUCCUAAAUCAGAUAAUGGUUCAACCACAUUGAUGCAUGGCCAUGAAGUUACAGGGAAUGGUUCACUUGUUAAUAACAAUGUAAAAUUGGUUCCAAGUUUGAAAGCUGAACCAUCCUACCAAAAUAGCUCAUGCCUUUUUUCUCAGUUGGAUUCCAAGGAAUCUCAGGUGUGCCAUGGAUCAGUAGGCUUUGGCUACCUGAAUGGCUUCGGUGAUAGUAAUUCUGCUUCUGAACAAAUUCCCCAACAUGGUCCUACACAUAACUUUGGUGGCUCGGGCUGGAUGGGGAAUUCAAAGUCUUCAGAGGUAGCAAAUGCAGUUCUUCCAAAAAGUUGCCAGAAUGAAGCAAUUUUUUCUGAUUCAAAACUAAUAUUUGUUGAUGGUACAAAGAAGGAAGAAAAUCCAAAAGGAGGGUUUUCUUGGCUUAGAGAUAUUUCAUUUUGUAAUGGAAAAAAUUCCAAAGAAAGGAAUGGUUCUCAUCAGGUAAAUUCUCAGCAUUUUGCCAUCAAAGCUGAAACAAUGAAGAACCCCUCUCAAAGCUUGAUUCUGGAUUCCUCACUGAUGACAGAUUCCAAUGUCCAUGUUGCUGAGGACAGAAGAACUGAAGUUGGUGACUGUCCAAGCAGUGGUAAGAUUGUUGGAAUUCCUAUUUUUGAAAAGCAAAUGUCCAAGGACUUGCCAUCUGUAAGCUCUUUCUCGGAGCGAGGUUGUGCUUUGGAAAUUAAAGGUGCUCAUUCUAUUAAAGCUGGGUCACUUCUUGCUGAUCUAAAUCAUGAUCCUAUGCCAUCUGAAUCUGGAGAGACACAAAACUCAAAGAGUCUGGUUGCAGAAGAGGGAUCAGUUGAUUGUAGUGAUAAUUUAAGAAAUCACAUUGAUUUGAAUGUGAGUGUGACUGAAGAAGAGGCUCAACCAACACCUUUCUCUCCACAAACUAAGGUGAAGGUUGCACUUGAGAUAGAUUUGGAGGCACCAAUAUUUCUUGACAGUGAAAUAGAUAUUACUUCUGGAGGUGAAUUCGUAGAGAGCAAACUUAAAGAACCAUUUGACUCAAUAAAUGAUGAAUCAAGGGACUUUAAUGAAGGCUUUCUGAAGGAUGCAGCUGAGGUCCUAAUUGCCAUCUCAUCAUCAUGUGCGCAUGAUAUUCAAGAUGAUACCAGUCAUCACCAAGUGGAAGCUUCAGUGAGUGAAUCUCUUAAAUGGUUUGCAGAGAUAAUUACUUCUUACAAGGUUGAGGUUGAGAAUAAUUUAUCAGUUUCAGCUGGCACAGAUAGUACAGAUCGUGGAGAUUCCUUGCCAAAUGGUGUUGAUUAUUUUGAGUAUAUGACGCUAAAUUUGACAGAAGCCAAGUUAGAAGAGUAUCACUGUGAGCCUCAGAUUAUAGAGAACUCAAAAGAUGAAGUCACACUGCUAAGACGACCUCGGAGAGGUCAGGCAAGAAGAGGAAGGCAGCGGAAGGACUUUCAAAGGGAUGUACUUCCUGGUCUUGCCUCUCUGUCCAGGAAUGAUGUGGCUGAGGAUCUUCAGACCAUCGAAGGGCUUAUUAAGGCAACGGGUGGCAUUUGGCAAUCAAGUUUCUCACAGAGGAACUCUCCUAGGGGCAAAGGAGGGAGGGGGAGAAAGCGUUUAGGGGCUAAUGCUACCUCCCCUGCAGUAACUGCAGUUUGCCCACCUCAGACCCUGCAACCUAAAUGCGGGGAGCUGGUACUUGAGGAGACUAGACUAACAGGAUGGGGAAAGAGGACAAGGCGUCCGCCAAGACAGAGAUGUCCGAUUAAUCAUCCUCCUUUUCCAUUACAAUAAAGAGAGAGAGUUCAAAUGAUGUUGAAGGUUUUCCACAUUGUACAGGAAGAUCCUUCAAUUUUUCAGGCCUGUUGAGAGCGUUCAAAUGGCUUCGCCUGUCAAAUUUUUCAGGCCAGGAAGAUCCACAUUGUAAAUGCUUUCUUUCUUGAUUUUCAAUUCGGUAUCCUUCAAUUUUCAGCAUUCAGGGUGUGCUUGCUUCUCUAGUUGCAAAAUAAGUUAUAUUGAUCCUUAUUGACAUAAAACUGAUUUUUUUUUUCUUCAAUAAUAUUUAAUUCCAGCUUAGUGUGUGAUAUAGAUUAAAAGACAUGGUUUGGAAGUUGGGGAACCUCACAUUCCCUGAAUUCAAGAGUUAAUGUGUAUGUUAUUUUUCCUGCUUGAGGAGCUGCUUUUGUAUAUUAUAAUUAUAUCACCUUGAUGAUUGCUUAAAU
RNAcentral lists this unclassified non-coding RNA (4235 nucleotides) under Hevea brasiliensis (rubber tree). Lineage: Eukaryota; Viridiplantae; Streptophyta; Magnoliopsida; Malpighiales; Euphorbiaceae. The record is from RNAcentral.